GAGCGCGUAGCUCAGCUGGUAGAGCAACUGACUUUUAAUCAGUGGGUCGCAGGUCCGAUUCCUGCCGGGCUCGCCA
RNAcentral lists this transfer RNA (76 nucleotides) under Notoacmeibacter sp. Its description in RNAcentral is "tRNA-Lys". It matches the Rfam family "tRNA". Rfam says of the family: Transfer RNA (tRNA) molecules are approximately 80 nucleotides in length. Their secondary structure includes four short double-helical elements and three loops (D, anti-codon, and T loops). Further hydrogen bonds mediate the characteristic L-shaped molecular structure. tRNAs have two regions of fundamental functional importance: the anti-codon, which is responsible for specific mRNA codon recognition, and the 3' end, to which the tRNAs corresponding amino acid is attached (by aminoacyl-tRNA synthetases). tRNAs cope with the degeneracy of the genetic code in two manners: having more than one tRNA (with a specific anti-codon) for a particular amino acid; and 'wobble' base-pairing, i.e. permitting non-standard base-pairing at the 3rd anti-codon position. The record is from RNAcentral. Lineage: Bacteria; Pseudomonadati; Pseudomonadota; Alphaproteobacteria; Hyphomicrobiales; Notoacmeibacteraceae.